This 72-nucleotide transfer RNA is filed under the name Methyloceanibacter methanicus. It matches the Rfam family "tRNA". Rfam says of the family: Transfer RNA (tRNA) molecules are approximately 80 nucleotides in length. Their secondary structure includes four short double-helical elements and three loops (D, anti-codon, and T loops). Lineage: Bacteria; Pseudomonadati; Pseudomonadota; Alphaproteobacteria; Hyphomicrobiales; Hyphomicrobiaceae. The record is from Rfam by way of RNAcentral.
CGGGGCAUAGCGCAGUCUGGUAGCGCACUGCUUUGGGAGCAAGGGGGUCGCAAGUUCGAUCUUGUGCCCCGA